Xenia sp. Carnegie-2017 is the source of this 219-nucleotide long non-coding RNA. RefSeq lists it as uncharacterized. The record is from RefSeq and is a predicted model, not a curated record. Lineage: Eukaryota; Metazoa; Cnidaria; Anthozoa; Malacalcyonacea; Xeniidae. The transcript has 3 exons.
GUAUAAACGCAGAGUAAAUAAAGUCAAAGUUAGCUGCACAUUACAGUUCUCAAGUAAUCUUUACAUAGAUCCCGAAUAAGACAAUUUUUCCCAGAUAAUGAAAAUUGUCUUUAGCUAUAUUGUAUUUCAUCCUGUCAUUCACGUGGAAUAUUUGACAAUUAAGAGAGUGCUGUUUUGAAAUAGCAUAAGAAAACUAUAGAGAAAUAAAUAGAAAUGUAU